GUUUUGAUUUUCUAUUAUUUUUAAAUUAUUCACUUUGAAUUAAGUGCUUACUAGGGAUUUAAAAGUGGUAAAAUAGAAUAAUUUAUGCCAUAUCAUUAUAUUCCACCAUGUUGCUGCCGAGACUAUUGUGUUUUGUCUCAAUAGAUACACGAUUUCUUUCAACAUUCACUACUUAGAAUUGUACCCCUGGCGACCACCAGAGGGCUCUGUCAAUAGACAUCUUGAUUUCACUUGCUGGAACGCACGAUCGAAUGGAACACGGAAGUGUGUGUUCACUUCCGGUUCCGUUUUUCGGCUGAUACUGGACGCGGGAAUUUUUGACUGCAACUACAAUCAGAAAGAGACAGCUGGAUGUAAGUAAUUACCACACCAAUGACGAAAGGAAUCCAGGAGGACGCCCAGGAUGCCACUAAUUAACUUAGGGGUUAGCUCUAUAUAACAGGACUGAUGGGAGGGUGGGAUUAGGCUGUAUUUUAUACUUUGUCAUUGCUGUAUAAUAUUUGGUUUUAAUUUUGGUCCCUGAGGAAGUUCCGUACUGUGAACAAAACGCGUAGGACCUCAUUUUAAGUUUAUAUUUUCUUUUAUUGCUGGGUGAAUAUUCACCCUUAAUAAAGCCAUUUUUUCCACCAUCCUGUGAGUCUUGCUUUCCAUUCACCUAUUGGGAGCAACUGGAG
This is a non-coding RNA of Pelobates cultripes (western spadefoot toad), 674 nucleotides long. The record is from the annotation of a GenBank genome assembly. NCBI's taxonomy places the organism in Eukaryota, Metazoa, Chordata, Amphibia, Anura, Pelobatidae.